RNAcentral lists this long non-coding RNA (2054 nucleotides) under Felis catus (domestic cat). Its description in RNAcentral is "lncRNA (ENSFCAG00000050677.1)". The record is from RNAcentral. Lineage: Eukaryota; Metazoa; Chordata; Mammalia; Carnivora; Felidae.
AGUCAAAAGCGCCCGGGUGCGCCCGCGUCAACCCCGCGUCCUCCGCUCCCAGCCCCCGCUGCCCCCGCAGGUCCUGCGUCCCCGGAGCCUCCUGCACCCCGGAGCCCCGCUCUCCCACUUCCAGGUCCCCGGCUCCGGCACCUCCCGGAACCCCCUCCCGCGUCCCUCGCGACCCCCUCUCGCCUGCACCUCCGCGUCCCCCUGCGCCCGCGCCCCCCCCACCCCUGCACCUCCCACGUUCCCUGCGCCCCCUGCGCCGGCGCCCCCCCGCACCUCCCGCGCCCACGCUCCCCGCACCCCAGCACCUCCCGCGUCCCCUGCGCCCGCGCCCCUGCACCCGCGCUCCCCUCACCCCCGCGCCUCCCGCGUCCCCUGCGCCCGCGCCCCCUCCCGGGCCUCACCGGGCGCCCCGCACUCCCCCGAGGCCCGGCUGCAGCCGCGGCGAGCUCAGAGCCGCAUUGCGGCCGGCACAGCCAGGGGCGCGCGGCCAGUCUUCGCAGGCACCGGGUCCAGGCCGAGGGCGGCUUUCCCCUCCGCGCGGCAUUUAGGAGGUGGGAGGAGCGGCGCGGCGAGGCGCCCGGGAAAUCUGAUAGGUCCUGGAUCCUUCUCUCCCUGGGACGAGGAGCACGCACUUUUCGGAGCACUGCCUGCCUUUUCACGCCCCGAUGCAGCCAAGUUAGGAGUUCUCAUGUGUCUUGUCCAAGAAAAGUGAGCGGCAAAGCAGGAAGCUCUAAAUCUACCCAUUUGGAUGAGACCCAGUCCCUCAUCAAUGGCUGGCUCCCGUUUACAGAAUGCCCAAGCAUGAAUGUGCCAACCCAAGCCAAAAUUCCUGCCGUGGACAGAGAUGCCAAGAGACGGUGAAGCAGGCGGGGGGCCGGGGGUGGGAAGCAGAGAAAGCACACGGAUGCGUUCGAGAUCUUUCCAUGUGCGAGGGAAGGGACCUAUCGGAGCAGACCAUCAUCACUAAGCUCAUAAGCUUCCCCAUCAGGAACGCAGACCUCCCAAGACCAUUUCUCUGGAUCUACAGUGUUACCCUCCAGCCUGACGCCCAGGUCAGAAGUCUGAGCUCCCUCGUCUCUCCCUCACACACCCCAGUCCAUUCUCCCUGAGCACAUCUUUUCCAUCCAGCCCCUCCUGCCACCCCGGCCCGGGUGCCACCACCUCUGGCUGGUGUUUUACAGGCGCUCCAUGACCGGCCUGAGCUCCACUGUUAGAACAAUCUGACCUAACUCAAGCCCUUGCUUGAAAACCAUGGGUGCUUCUGGAGACGUGUAUCCUCACCCGGCCUCCAUACCUGCCAGGAGCCGCACAGCACCUCCCACCAGCCAUGCCGACAGUCUGCCAUUUGUGACAUAGCACUCUGGCAUUGUUUGUGACUUUCCUGCUCAUCCUUCCCUUCCCUGGGUCCCUAGAAAACUCCUAUUUAGCCUUCAAAACCCACAUCGAAUGCCACCUUCUCUCCCCAGCUCAAAGUCAGUGACUUCAUCCUCCAGCCAUGUCCGUCCCUGCCUCUGUAGUAGCACUCACCACAUGGCACGCCUGAGGCUGCCCUCCAUUGGCUCACAUACCUGUCACCUCACUUGGGGACAGAGACCCCAGGCAUUGGUGUUAAUGUUCCUGAACCUUGAAUGGGUUCCCACAUGAGUGUUAAAUCAUGCACAAGGGGACACUGAGGAAAGCCUUGCCUGCCUUCUAGGACCCCCUAGAAGCCCACCCUCUGCAUCACAGAGAUAGAGAUAGCUGUAUUCUUGGAUACAGCCAGUUGUCAGUCAUUCAGGCUAAAAUAUGAAAGAGCUGGGGCGCCUGGGUGGAUCAGUCGAUUAACCGUCCGACUUCGGCUCAGGUCAUGAUCUCGAGGUCCGUGGUCCAUGAUCUCGAGGUCUCGAGGUCCAUGAUCUUGAGGCCCCAUGUCGGGCUCUAGGCUGACAGCUCAGAGCCUGGAGCCUGCUUCCGGUUCUGUGUCUCCCUUUCUCUCUCUCUCUGCCCCUCCCCCACUCACACUCUGUCUCUCUCUCAAAAAUAAACAUUAAAAAAAAAUUUAGAUAUGAAAGAGC